AAAAACUUAGUUAAAAAAUAACAUUAGCUUGUCAAGCUAAAAUUAUCAUUAGAUAGUUUUUA
RNAcentral lists this transfer RNA (62 nucleotides) under Dermestes maculatus (common hide beetle). RNAcentral's name for it is "tRNA-Asp". The record is from RNAcentral. RNAcentral also lists the same sequence under 1 other name. Lineage: Eukaryota; Metazoa; Arthropoda; Insecta; Coleoptera; Dermestidae.